This 468-nucleotide ribosomal RNA is filed under the name uncultured bacterium. Its description in RNAcentral is "partial 16S ribosomal RNA". It matches the Rfam family "Bacterial small subunit ribosomal RNA", at positions 28 to 507 of the family's 1533-position model. The record is from RNAcentral.
GACGAACGCUGGCGGCGUGCUUAACACAUGCAAGUCGAACGGAAAGGCCCUGCUUUUGUGGGGUGCUCGAGUGGCGAACGGGUGAGUAACACGUGAGUAACCUGCCCUUGACUUUGGGAUAACUUCAGGAAACUGGGGCUAAUACCGGAUAGGAGCUCCUGCUGCAUGUUGGGGGUUGGAAAGUUUCGGCGGUUGGGGAUGGACUCGCGGCUUAUCAGCUUGUUGGUGGGGUAGUGGCUUACCAAGGCUUUGACGGGUAGCCGGCCUGAGAGGGUGACCGGGCACAUUGGGACUGAGAUACGGCCCAGACUCCUACGGGAGGCAGCAGUGGGGAAUAUUGCACAAUGGGCGGAAGCCUGAUGCAGCAACGCCGCGUGCGGGAUGACGGCCUUCGGGUUGUAAACCGCUUUCGCCUGUGACGAAGCGUGAGUGACGGUAAUGGGUAAAGAAGCACCGGCUAACUACGUG